UCCCUCCUAGUUCAGUCAGUAAAGAUUCUGCCUGCAGUGCAGGAGACCCAGGUUCAAUCCCUGGGUCGGGAA
Molecule: transfer RNA, 72 nt
Filed under: Capra hircus (goat)
Lineage: Eukaryota; Metazoa; Chordata; Mammalia; Artiodactyla; Bovidae
Also listed under: 1 other name
Rfam family: tRNA
About the family: Transfer RNA (tRNA) molecules are approximately 80 nucleotides in length. Their secondary structure includes four short double-helical elements and three loops (D, anti-codon, and T loops). Further hydrogen bonds mediate the characteristic L-shaped molecular structure. tRNAs have two regions of fundamental functional importance: the anti-codon, which is responsible for specific mRNA codon recognition, and the 3' end, to which the tRNAs corresponding amino acid is attached (by aminoacyl-tRNA synthetases). tRNAs cope with the degeneracy of the genetic code in two manners: having more than one tRNA (with a specific anti-codon) for a particular amino acid; and 'wobble' base-pairing, i.e. permitting non-standard base-pairing at the 3rd anti-codon position.
Source: Rfam by way of RNAcentral